RNAcentral lists this long non-coding RNA (548 nucleotides) under Gallus gallus (chicken). Lineage: Eukaryota; Metazoa; Chordata; Aves; Galliformes; Phasianidae. The record is from RNAcentral.
CUGCCCAACUCCAUUGCUACUUAGGAAAACUAAUAAUUGACAUGCUCUAAGACUCAAAACUAUAGAACUGAUUUAGCCAUUUCUUCCUGGUCCUCUGUGGAAAUCUGGAAACAUCUGACAAAAUAUUUCAGUUAGCUUGAGCAAUCCUGGAAUCAGACCCAAGGAAGCUAAACAUUGUAGACACCAAUUCAGGGAGGUCAUAAUCAUGUUUCCAACCCCAGUCUCUCCGGGCAUUGCUGUCAUCAAAGUUCAUUGGCCAGCUGUCAGCUAUUGCCUGCCUGACCGUGUCCACAUUGUAGGUCACCUGAAGCUCAGGAACGUGCUUCUGCACCUCUUGUGCCAGCUCUUCAGGAGUGAAGCUCAUGGCACUGAUGUUGUAUGUCCUCAUGCUCAGUGCCUCUGCAGGGGCCUCCAUGACCUCUAGAGUUGCUUUCAAGCAGUCAUCAAUGUACAUCAUAGGAAGGCGUGUGUCCGGCUUUAAGUUGCACUCAAAUUUGCCAGUCUUAAUGGCAUCGUGGAAAAUCUGGACAGCAUAAUCAGUUGUUCCC